ACCUACGGGACGCAGCAGUGGGGAAUAUUGCACAAUGGGGGGAACCCUGAUGCAGCGACGCCGCGUGGGUGAGGAAGUACUUCGGUAUGUAAAGCCCUAUCAGCAGGGAAGAAAAUGACGGUACCUGACUAAGAAGCCCCGGCUAACUACGUGCCAGCAGCCGCGGUAAUACGUAGGGGGCAAGCGUUAUCCGGAUUUACUGGGUGUAAAGGGAGCGUAGACGGCUGUGCAAGUCUGGAGUGAAAGGCGGGGGCCCAACCCCCGGACUGCUCUGGAAACUGUAUGGCUGGAGUGCAGGAGAGGUA
Molecule: ribosomal RNA, 305 nt
Filed under: uncultured bacterium
Lineage: Bacteria
Description: bacterial SSU rRNA
Rfam family: Bacterial small subunit ribosomal RNA
Source: RNAcentral